RNAcentral lists this transfer RNA (76 nucleotides) under Calidithermus terrae. Its description in RNAcentral is "Meiothermus terrae tRNA-Gly". It matches the Rfam family "tRNA". Rfam says of the family: Transfer RNA (tRNA) molecules are approximately 80 nucleotides in length. RNAcentral also lists the same sequence under 1 other name. The record is from RNAcentral. Lineage: Bacteria; Thermotogati; Deinococcota; Deinococci; Thermales; Thermaceae.
GCGGGAGUAGCUCAGCCGGUAGAGCACAACCUUGCCAAGGUUGGGGUCGCGAGUUCGAGUCUCGUCUCCCGCUCCA